RNAcentral lists this transfer RNA (76 nucleotides) under Oligoflexia bacterium. Its description in RNAcentral is "tRNA-Arg". It matches the Rfam family "tRNA". From Rfam's summary of the family: Transfer RNA (tRNA) molecules are approximately 80 nucleotides in length. Lineage: Bacteria; Pseudomonadati; Bdellovibrionota; Oligoflexia. The record is from RNAcentral.
GACCCCAUAGUUAAGUUGGAUAUAACGAGGCCUUCCUAAGGCCCAGUCAGGGGUUCAAGUCCCUUUGGGGUCGCCA